AGAGUUUGAUCAUGGCUCAGAUUGAACGCUGGCGGCAUGCUUUACACAUGCAAGUCGAACGGCAGCAUGGGCUUCGGCCUGAUGGCGAGUGGCGAACGGGUGAGUAAUGCAUCGGAACGUGCCCAGUCGUGGGGGACAACUAGUCGAAAGAUUAGCUAAUACCGCAUACGACCUGAGGGUGAAAGUGGGGGGAUCUUCGGACCUCACGCGAUUGGAGCGGCCGAUGUCAGAUUAGCUAGUUGGUGGGGUAAGAGCCUACCAAGGCGACGAUCUGUAGCGGGUCUGAGAGGAUGAUCCGCCACACUGGGACUGAGACACGGCCCAGACUCCUACGGGAGGCAGCAGUGGGGAAUUUUGGACAAUGGGGGCAACCCUGAUCCAGCCAUGCCGCGUGCGGGAAGAAGGCCUUCGGGUUGUAAACCGCUUUCGGACAGAAAGAAAUCGCACAGGAUAAUACCUUGUGUGGAUGACGGUACUGUAAGAAGAAGCACCGGCUAACUACGUGCCAGCAGCCGCGGUAAUACGUAGGGUGCGAGCGUUAAUCGGAAUUACUGGGCGUAAAGCGUGCGCAGGCGGAUUGUUAAGCAAGAUGUGAAAUCCCCGGGCUUAACCUGGGAAUGGCAUUUUGAACUGGCAGUCUAGAGUGCGUCAGAGGGGGGUGGAAUUCCACGUGUAGCAGUGAAAUGCGUAGAGAUGUGGAGGAACACCGAUGGCGAAGGCAGCCCCCUGGGAUGACACUGACGCUCAUGCACGAAAGCGUGGGGAGCAAACAGGAUUAGAUACCCUAGUAGUCC
Molecule: ribosomal RNA, 794 nt
Filed under: uncultured bacterium
Lineage: Bacteria
Description: bacterial SSU rRNA
Rfam family: Bacterial small subunit ribosomal RNA
Source: RNAcentral